CCUUAACUUGGCAAACAUACAAGGCCAUAACUAAAGGGUGUAUACGUCAUGGAAAUUUUCCUGACUUAGUUCAAGAUGGCAUCUUAAAGUCUGAAUAGGUUAUCUGUUGUUUAUACUAAGUCGUAAGUGUACAGUCGCGGGAGAUUCCCGGAUUUGGGGAAGUUCCAUUAACUUGGGGUUACCACAGUAUAUUGUGUACUGCAAGUGUCGUAGAAUAGCCUUGAAGCUUGUUUAUGCAUUAUUGUUAUUGUAAUUCGUCUGGGACAAAAUGGCACAAACAUAUUCUGCACUGAGGUUAUUGCUUAAAGAAACCUCUAUGAAAAACAAUAUGUUCAAUUUCUAACACCUUGUCAGUUUGCAAUAUCUUUUAAAGACAAAGUACACAGUUUAAGAAAUACAACAUUUCAUUCUAAAACUUGUAAUGUUUGCAUUUGCCCAUAACACAACAAACUAACAUAGAUCUCUAUUCUUGUGUGCUGUCCUUAAUUCUGGAAUCAGCCUGUGUACAUCUGUUGGCACACACAUCCACGCUCAUUCCCUAAACUGAUCAUAUCUCUUGAAGUUAUCUGAUUCUUAUAACUUUCUGUGUUACACUGCAUUGCUUGUCUGUCUCCUAAUUUCGAUUUAGCUAAAAUUGCUUUUAUUUGUCUGAUUAUAAGUUUACAAGGAAAGGCCUUUAUUGAUUUAUCUCCACAUGUAUUUUCUCUGUCAAAAUUUUCAAUUAACAAAUUUAAUUUCUCAUUUGCUUUUGAUUUGAUAUCUCGGAUAAAAUAUCUGCAAGAUCUUAAAUAAUGUUGUUUAUUGCACCAAAAACAAAUAAUUUUAGGAGUUAUAUUCUGUCUUUGAUUAACUCUACAGUUUUUAGUUGAACACAUUGGGAGGGGCUCAGCUGUCUGUAUCACUCUUUUACACUCUGUCCUAGAAGGAGGAGGAGGGGGAUGAGGGGUGUAAAAUCUGCACUUCUUUCUCUGCCUAAUUCCACAAGUCAUUUUAACCCCUUCAUUAUUGGUUUCUCUGCUUAAGUUAUCCAAGAAUAAAGCUACUUCUGUCAAAGUGCUUUUUUUCUCUAGCUAACAGAAUUGCAGUUGGAUCUAGAUCUUGAAAUUUUUUCACAAAUUCAUUAAUUAACUGAUCCUCAGGAAAAUUACCAACAUGUCUAUAUGCAUUUUCAAAUUUUACAAGAAAACUAAAAAUAUCCUCAUCAAUCUGUGGUUUUAGUUUUUCCAACACUUCUGCAAAAUCAUUCCUUGUUGUUAAUUUUAUUAAUUGUGUUAAUCUGUCUUGCUUAUUACCAUAUAUUAUUUUAUCAUUGUCCUCACAUUUUACAGGCGCGGUCAGCCUACAUGCCAUUUGAGUCGGCAGCCAUAUUUGAAAUAGUCUAUUUCUUUGUUCGUCAUUUAGGCUAUAUUUGUCCAAAUUUGACUCAAACAUUUCAGCAUUAGUAAAUGCAUCCACUGACGUGUCAUAAACUGGAAUACAUUUCACAAUUUUCAUUUAAUUGUUCAUGGAUUUUCAAAUUAAGUGUUGCAGCUCUUUCUUGAAAUUUACAUUUCUGCAAAUCACUCUGUGAGGUUACAUUUUCAGUAUCAAUUGGUUCUGGGAUUAGAUUCUGUGCCUGUAUUUUUCUUGUGUUCACACACACUUGCUUUACUUCAUUUCUAAGCUGACAAAAAAGAUCAUUUCUUAAUUCAACUCUAUCCUCUAAUUCACAGACUGUUUCUGACAUUCUCUCAAAGUUACAUUGAGAGCAUGUGCUCUCUGUUACAUUGUUACAGUGUUCAUUUAAAUCUGAUUUGUCUUCUGUUAACAUAUUCAGAUCUAUUUCUUUAUCUGCUGAUUCUAAAUUUUCUUGACCUGCAUCUCGUUUACAAAUCAAUGCAUUGUAAGUACAGACUAGUUUCAUAACAUUUCUGAUCUUUUGUUUUCUUAUUAACAAUUUCUUGUCAGUUUCAGUAUUGGCAAUUUCACAUUGUGUGUAUAAAGAUUGCCACAAAACAGCAUCUGAAUAGCUGCUAUUCAAUGCAAACUGCAAUUUACUUUUCUCUGCAAUAUCAUUUAUGAAUUCCAUGUUACUCACCAGAUCAGUUAUUUCUGUCUAUUUCGUUGCUUCAUCCACACAGCUGCGCAGUUCUGGGCUUGAAUCUGGAUGAUUGCCAAUCUCUGCCACGUGCUUGCUUCUAGAAUUCACGUUGUAUCUUGUGCUGCUUUCUUUAUACCACGUUCUUUUCUCUGUUGUAGAAUAUAAUCUUGGAACAGUCUUUGUGAUUUGAAAAUCUUUGUCUUCUGAUAAACACACACAGCUCUUAACACGGUUUUUAACACGGUUCUUUUUUCUGUUUCUGGCUGCACACACUUCUAUUCAACACAAAGAGUAAUUCGAUAUCCGUCCUCUCUCUGCUCAACUCCCCCUGAAUAGAAGUUUGUAACACCAGAAAACAGUCUGGCUGGCUCGUCCAUGUAAUAUCUAAUUUGGAACGGUGUUAAUGUAGAAUCCUCUUAAUUUCUUCUUGUCUUCAGUUGAUUGAUAUAUAUACACAUCUUUUGUAUAUAUAGUCUUGGGCCAAAUGCUCGCCACAAUAAUAUAUGCCUAUAUUAUUGAAAAGUACUAAUGCGCAAUCUGACUUACGGUUUCUUCAGGUUUAUUCUUAGUUACUGAUACAUAAUAAAUGAUGUUACAGGAUAAUGGACAUUCAACAGCAGAUGGUAAUUGCUGGACUUCUUUACAACCUUACAUCUUUACAUCGAGAGAGAGCCAGAGCCAAGAGAGAGUGACCUCAUGUCCCUCUGUUACUUAUACCAUCUGUUACUUAUGUCAAUCCAAACAUCCAUAUAUAAUUAAUAGAAACAUAGAAUAUGCAAUAUUCUACAGAACAGAUGAAAAUGGAAACAACCUGUGACGGAACGCUGGCACUCCGACUGAGUACCUCCGCCAAUCGAUGCUCCUAGCGCUUGCCGAGGACUCCAAGCACUCUAACCGACAGCAUCAGCACUGCAGACCCCACUUCCAGCGAUACAGCUGCGCCGGGGUCUCGCCGUUUCCACCCACCCUGGAUCCACAACCAGGAUCCAGCUCCCAGUGGGUGAACCUCUCCUAAAUCCAGAGAGCGUAGCAGGGACAAAUCAAGCUAUUGCAAGAGCUUACUCUGGGGAGUAAGUGAUUAUAGCAAUCCCCAGAGUGUAGGUAUCCCUUCCCCCAAACAUGAGCCAAG
Pelobates cultripes (western spadefoot toad) is the source of this 3209-nucleotide non-coding RNA. The record is from the annotation of a GenBank genome assembly. Lineage: Eukaryota; Metazoa; Chordata; Amphibia; Anura; Pelobatidae.